Molecule: unclassified non-coding RNA, 208 nt
Filed under: Hevea brasiliensis (rubber tree)
Lineage: Eukaryota; Viridiplantae; Streptophyta; Magnoliopsida; Malpighiales; Euphorbiaceae
Source: RNAcentral
UGAUGCUGGGGCGAGGGAUGAGAUAUUGGAGUCCUGCCGGAGGGUUCUCAAGUCCUCAGGGUUCCGAUUCAUGGAUGACUGGGCCACUGUGAUACCAGGUGCUGAUGAAGGUAUUUAUGCAUGGGUUACUGCAAAUUAUGCUCUUGGUACUCUUGGAGGAGAUCCAAAAAGAACCAUUGGGAUUAUUGAACUUGGCGGGGCUUCGGCG